This 1852-nucleotide long non-coding RNA is filed under the name Theobroma cacao (cacao). RNAcentral's name for it is "long non-coding RNA (TCAC_LNC003365)". The record is from RNAcentral. Lineage: Eukaryota; Viridiplantae; Streptophyta; Magnoliopsida; Malvales; Malvaceae.
AGCCAAAGGACAAAGGGGGAAAGAAUAGAAAAACUCUAAGGAGGAAAAAUUCAAGAGAAAUUCAUUGGAUUUUCGAAAAACGAAGCGAUCAGAGGUAAGAUUUCGUAAUUUAGCUUAGGAUCUAUCGUACCCGUGCUUUCUUUUUCAUUUUCUAUGGUUGAAACUCAAGUUUUCAUUAUGGAAGCAUGCUGGCCGAAUCAAGGGGGGGAAGGUUUUGAUGAUGGUUUUUGAUAGAUUUUAGGCUAUCUAGGUGUUUUUAGUGUUUUGUGAUAUUUGGUAUGAAAAACAAGCAAGAAAAUAACAUGUUCUUCAUCAAACCAUAAAUGGACGAAUUCUAUAGGGAAUAUUUUGAAGAUGAAUUUUGUCAUAUUUCAUGUUAUCUAGCUCGUAUUUGAUGAUUUGUGAUGUUGGAUAUCGAAAAUGGUUAUCGAAAAGUAUAGUUCCUUUAGUAAACGACUUGAACGAUAAUGAGAAAAUUUUAGUAAAUGGACUUAGAAUUGAUUUCUAAUGAGGUAUACAGACUUAUUGGAGUAUCGAAAGUGCAAUGAAUAUAUUUGGAGUUGAAUUGGAUGUUUUGGCUAAUUAAACAGUGUAUAGUGUGAGUUAGGUCGAAUACCAUUUAAGUCUAACAACAAUUGAACUUACGUAGAAUACCAUCUUUAAGUGAUUAUUCGAACACUUCUCAUUCAAUUUCAUGCAUUCAUAAAGAGCCUAAAAUAGUCUUAUAACAGUUUGGCACAAGUAUAUUGAAUUACUUGUUGUGCAUUAUGUAUAGGUGAUGAGCCCUCUGGUAAGGGUAAGGAUAUCGUACCCGAGGACUAGGAGUCGGAGUACUCCCGUUAUUGUGAGUAAAUAGACGAUCAUCUUAACUAUCUAAAGUAGUUUCUACUUGUUUUUAUGAUUUUAAAGAAUAAUAAAUUUAAAUUGUAAACUAUUAUGUUUUAUAACUGAAGUGUUCGUUAAAUGAAAUCAGAUUCAUAAUUUGGUUUGAAAUUGAAUCCUGGUUUUGGAAAUUGAGUAAGUGGAGACUAUAUACUUGUGUUAUAUAUAUGUUUUGACAUAUGGUUUGAAUUGAUGACUUAUGACAAUGUGACAGCAUGAAUGGCUAGAUUUGUGUUUGUGUGGAAUAUAUGAACUGUUUUGUUUUACCUUGACAGGCAGGGUAAUAUCAUAUUAGCCAUGUCAUACUGUCGAAAUUUUAUUGAUUUGAUGGGAUAAUUGAUUAGCUUACUGCAGUGGGCGGGUUUCCGUGGACCAGCCUAUUAAAAGGGCAUAGUAAACCCCGUUAUAUUUUACCUUAGUAUGAAAGGCGUGGAGGGUAUCUCCUAAGGUAGUUUAGAGUUCACUUCACGCUGAACCACUACGUGAGGGUGAAACUUAGCCAACGCCAAGGAACAGUUACAUUUUUAAACGUAAAAACAUGUUUUAUGUGUAUAUGUUAUUUUAACAGCCUUGACAGACUCGGUUGGAUGCCCGGCGCAAGGUGUCAUCAAGUACGAGUUUUGGCACGAGACAAGUUUUAAGAGAGCCAUAAGCCUUGUUGAUUAUUUUUGAUGAAAUGUAAUUGUUUUAUAUGGUUGAAAUUAGUUUUAAUGUUAUGAAUCAUAUUAUGAAGAGAUGUUUUAAUUGUCUCCAUUUACUCGACUUUAGAUGUUAUAAAUGAACCUUGCUUACUCACUGGGUUUAUAAAAACUCACCCCAUUCUUUUCACCCAUUUCAGGUUCAGAGCAGUCUGUAGACAGUCGAUUUCGUCAAGGGUUUGUUUUUGGAUUUGCACCCUUAGAAAUUGUAGGUCUACAGUCCUGUUUAUUUUUGUUAUUUUGGGGCUCACAUGUCAUUGUAAAAUAUUUUU